RNAcentral lists this ribosomal RNA (1346 nucleotides) under uncultured bacterium. RNAcentral's name for it is "partial 16S ribosomal RNA". It matches the Rfam family "Bacterial small subunit ribosomal RNA", at positions 28 to 1381 of the family's 1533-position model. The record is from RNAcentral.
GACGAACGCUGGCGGCGUGCUUAACACAUGCAAGUCGAACGGAGAGGCCCUGCUUUUGUGGGGUGCUCGAGUGGCGAACGGGUGAGUAACACGUGAGUAACCUGCCCUUGACUUUGGGAUAACUUCAGGAAACUGGGGCUAAUACCGGAUAGGAGCUCCUGCUGCAUGGUGGGGGUUGGAAAGUUUCGGCGGUUGGGGAUGGACUCGCGGCUUAUCAGCUUGUUGGUGGGGUAGUGGCUUACCAAGGCUUUGACGGGUAGCCGGCCUGAGAGGGUGACCGGCCACAUUGGGACUGAGAUACGGCCCAGACUCCUACGGGAGGCAGCAGUGGGGAAUAUUGCACAAUGGGCGGAAGCCUGAUGCAGCAACGCCGCGUGCGGGAUGACGGCCUUCGGGUUGUAAACCGCUUUCGCCUGUGACGAAGCGUGAGUGACGGUAAUGGGUAAAGAAGCACCGGCUAACUACGUGCCAGCAGCCGCGGUGAUACGUAGGGUGCGAGCGUUGUCCGGAUUUAUUGGGCGUAAAGGGCUCGUAGGUGGUUGAUCGCGUCGGAAGUGUAAUCUUGGGGCUUAACCCUGAGCGUGCUUUCGAUACGGGUUGACUUGAGGAAGGUAGGGGAGAAUGGAAUUCCUGGUGGAGCGGUGGAAUGCGCAGAUAUCAGGAGGAACACCAGUGGCGAAGGCGGUUCUCUGGGCCUUUCCUGACGCUGAGGAGCGAAAGCGUGGGGAGCGAACAGGCUUAGAUACCCUGGUAGUCCACGCUGUAAACGGUGGGUACUAGGUGUGGGGUCCAUUCCACGGGUUCCGUGCCGUAGCUAACGCUUUAAGUACCCCGCCUGGGGAGUACGGCCGCAAGGCUAAAACUCAAAGGAAUUGACGGGGCCCCGCACAAGCGGCGGAGCAUGCGGAUUAAUUCGAUGCAACGCGUAGAACCUUACCUGGGUUUGACAUGGAUCGGGAGUGCUCAGAGAUGGGUGUGCCUCUUUUGGGGUCGGUUCACAGGUGGUGCAUGGCUGUCGUCAGCUCGUGUCGUGAGAUGUUGGGUUAAGUCCCGCAACGAGCGCAACCCUUGUUCACUGUUGCCAGCACGUUAUGGUGGGGACUCAGUGGAGACCGCCGGGGUCAACUCGGAGGAAGGUGGGGAUGACGUCAAGUCACCAUGCCCCUUAUGUCCAGGGCUUCACGCAUGCUACAAUGGCUGGUACAGAGAGUGGCGAGCCUGUGAGGGUGAGCGAAUCUCGGAAAGCCGGUCUCAGUUCGGAUUGGGGUCUGCAACUCGACCUCAUGAAGUCGGAGUCGCUAGUAAUCGCAGAUCAGCAACGCUGCGGUGAAUACGUUCCCGGGGCU